UCCCAGACUCCUACGGGAGGCAGCAGUGGGGAAUAUUGCACAAUGGGGGAAACCCUGAUGCAGCGACGCCGCGUGGGUGAAGGAGCGUUUCGGCGCGUAAAGCCCUAUCGGCAGGGAAGAAGGAGGACGGUACCUGAAGAAGAAGCCCCGGCUAACUACGUGCCAGCAGCCGCGGUAAUACGUAGGGGGCAAGCGUUAUCCGGAUUUACUGGGUGUAAAGGGAGCGCAGGCGGCACGGCAAGUCUGGUGUGAAAGCCCGGGGCCCAACCCCGGGACUGCAUUGGAAACUGCCGGGCUGGAGUGCCGGAGGGGUAAGCGGAAUUCCUGGUGUAGCGGUGAAAUGCGCAGAUAUCAGGAGGAACACCGGCGGCGAAGGCGGCCUGCUGGACCGUAACUGACGUUGAGGCUCGAAAGCGUGGGGAGCAAACAGGAUUAGAUACCCCCGUAGG
This 449-nucleotide ribosomal RNA is filed under the name uncultured bacterium. Its description in RNAcentral is "partial 16S ribosomal RNA". It matches the Rfam family "Bacterial small subunit ribosomal RNA", at positions 329 to 794 of the family's 1533-position model. The record is from RNAcentral.